Molecule: long non-coding RNA, 780 nt
Filed under: Polistes fuscatus (common paper wasp)
Lineage: Eukaryota; Metazoa; Arthropoda; Insecta; Hymenoptera; Vespidae
Description: uncharacterized LOC122515502
Source: RNAcentral
GUAUUUGCAAAAUUCUAAAUGGCAUUUAACAAGAAUUUCUUUAUCAUCGUCGAUCAAAUAUUUUGUUCAAUCCUUACUUUUCUUUUAUUGAUUUGAAAACCAAAAAUAAGGCUCGCUUAAUUUGCUUUCGUUUCUAUGUUAUAUUCGAAAUAUUAGCCUACCUCUUUCUUUUACCACCCAUUUACAUCCUCCGUACAAGUUUUCUUUUUAAUAACAUUUACUCGAAACUAACGAUAUACAAACUUACUUAGGAUUUAUUUCCUUUACCUUUUCUAUCCGGUAUAAAACACCAGACGCAGCGAUACAUUACGUGAUUUUCAACUGGUAACGAAAAAAUAAAUAUACAAAAAUAUCAAAUAAAAAUAGACUAAGAGAAAGAAGAAGAAGAAGAAGAAGAAGAAGAAGAAGAAGGGAUGAAACUGGACUAUAUUUAUAGUUACACGUAUAUUUUUUCUUAUUUUCUUUUUUGUUCUGUGGUGUGUAAAAAAAACGUAACACCAAAAGUAAAGUAAACUUGGACGCGUAAGGUAAACGGCGGAGGCACCUAAAAUGCAUUAACCUAGAAGCCCAGUGCACCGUGCAUGUAAAAAGAAAAAGGAAAAGAAAGAAAAGAAGGGUUGAAAUUUCCUUCGAGAUAUUUACAACUCGGUUACGAACGAGUAGUCCAUUGAAAUAGAGUCAGACACCAUAAAUUGGGGGUAGAAAGGAGGAAACUGAUCUAAGGGAAAAAAGCUAAUAAAACUGACAAAGAUUAUUCCUGGCAUAAGAAGAAGAAGAAAA